AACGCGAAGAACCUUACCAAGGCUUGACAUAUACCGGAAACGGCCAGAGAUGGUCGCCCCCUUGUGGUCGGUAUACAGGUGGUGCAUGGUUGUCGUCAGCUCGUGUCGUGAGAUGUUGGGUUAAGUCCCGCAACGAGCGCAACCCUCGUUCUGUGUUGCCAGCAUGCCUUUCGGGGUGAUGGGGACUCACAGGAGACUGCCGGGGUCAACUCGGAGGAAGGUGGGGACGACGUCAAAUCAUCAUGCCCCUUAUGUCUUGGGCUGCACACGUGCUACAAUGGCCGGUACAAUGAGCUGCGAUACCGCGAGGUGGAGCGAAUCUCAAAAAGCCGGUCUCAGUUCGGAUUGGGGUCUGCAACUCGACCCCAUGAAGUCGGAGUUGCUAGUAAUCGCAGAUCAGCAUUGCUGCGGUGAAUACGUUCCCGGGCCUUGUA
Molecule: ribosomal RNA, 434 nt
Filed under: uncultured Actinomycetes bacterium
Lineage: Bacteria; Bacillati; Actinomycetota; Actinomycetes
Description: bacterial SSU rRNA
Rfam family: Bacterial small subunit ribosomal RNA
Source: RNAcentral